GGACACGCGUUGAUAGGAGAAGAAAACGCAUUGAGAGGAAAAGAAAUCUGGGUUUGUGUUUCUCGUUCUUGGGUCUCUCCGCCGCAGCCUGCUCCUCCCUCCGCCGCAGCCUGCUCCUCCCAAGGCUUCUCAUCCACGAACGUAUGUGGACAAGAGAGAGAUCCACGGCUCAUGUUGAUGCCAAGAUCCGCCAGCUGAGAGGGAGCGUUAUGAGUGGUAUGAGUGGUACGAGUGCGGCCUCAGCAUCAAGUGAGACGACAACGUCCACCACACAUCAUUCAUAGUUGAUCCAACUUGGUCAGGACCCAUGAAGCUGCUUCUUCAACAUGUCCGGUGGUUUCUACUCUCGUUGAAGGUGGUGCCACUUGCCUUGGCAAAACUGCUGUUGAUCAACUUGCCUUUAGGUUUGUCUCUCUCUUUCGAUUACCUAUAUAUCGAAUUUCAGAAAAAGACAUGUAGUUUGGGAUUCCAGUGUGGAGGAUGGUUUAUCUUUAGUUUCUGUUUUCUGCUUAUGUAAUGGGCAUGAUGAUCCUGAGGAAGGGGAAGCGUUUAGUGUAGUAUCUUUUGUUGUUGUUGUUGUUUUCUCUGUGUAUGAUUUAGGAAACAUGGCUACGCUUUUUAAGUUGGAAGAUCGUGUAGAAUUGUUUGAUGGUUCAUUAGUCUUUGAUUCUC
Long non-coding RNA from Brassica oleracea var. oleracea, 672 nucleotides. RefSeq lists it as uncharacterized. The record is from RefSeq and is a predicted model, not a curated record. NCBI's taxonomy places the organism in Eukaryota, Viridiplantae, Streptophyta, Magnoliopsida, Brassicales, Brassicaceae. The transcript is spliced from 2 exons.